This 465-nucleotide ribosomal RNA is filed under the name uncultured archaeon. RNAcentral describes it as "bacterial SSU rRNA". It matches the Rfam family "Archaeal small subunit ribosomal RNA", at positions 1 to 472 of the family's 1478-position model. The record is from RNAcentral.
UUCUGGUUGAUCCUGCCGGACCUGACUGCUAUCGGAUUGAUACUAAGCCAUGCGAGUCUUUGCAGUAAUGCAAGGCGGACUGCUCAGUAACACGUAGUCAACUUAACCUAUGGAUGGGUAUAACCUCGGGAAACUGAGAAUAAUUCCCAAUAGAUCAUUUAUCCUGGAAUGGUUAGUGAUUGAAAUGAUUCGUCGCCAUAGGAUAGGACUGCGGCCUAUCAGCUUGUUGGUGAGGUAAAGGCCCACCAAGGCUAUUACAGGUACGGGCUCUGAGAGAAGAAGCCCGGAGAUGGGUACUGAGACACGGACCCAGGCCCUAUGGGGCGCAGCAGGCGAGAAAACUUUGCAAUGUGCGAAAGCACGACAAGGUUAAUCCGAGUGAUUUCUGCUAAAGAAAUCUUUUGCCAGUUCUAAAAAUACUGGUGAAUAAGGGGUGGGCAAGUUCUGGUGCCAGCAGCCGCGGUA